RNAcentral lists this ribosomal RNA (2901 nucleotides) under metagenome. RNAcentral's name for it is "bacterial LSU rRNA". It matches the Rfam family "Bacterial large subunit ribosomal RNA". The record is from RNAcentral.
UCAAGUUACAAAGAGCGCAGGGCGGAUGCCUUGGCACCAAAAGCCUAAGAAGGACGUGACAAGCUGCGAAAAGCUGCGGUAAGGAGCACAUAUCCCAUGACCCGCAGAUAUCCGAAUGGGUAAACCUACGUGAGGGAACUGCUCACGUGUUCAUACGUGAAACAAAUAGCGUAUGAUCGGUAACGAAGUGAAUUGAAACAUCUUAGUAGCUUCAGGAAAAGAAAUCAAACGAGAUUCCGCUAGUAGUGGCGAGCGAACGCGGAAGAGGCCAAACCGUGAUACUUCGGUAUUGCGGGGUUACGGACUACCAUAAAUGAUCCUAAAGUCUAGCUGAAUGAGCGGUUGGAAAGCCGAGUCCAUAGAGCGUAAUAGUCGCGUAAGCGAAAGAUAGAAGGCAUAGGUAGCACCAGAGUACUACGAGACACGAGAAACCUCGUAGGAAGUCGGGGGGACCACCCUCCAAGCCUAAACACUUUUGGUGACCGAUAGUGAACUAGUACUGUGAAGGAAAGGUGAAAAGAACCCCUGGCGGGGAGUGAAAUAGAACCUGAAACCCUGUGUUUACAAGCAGUCGGAGAGCGUUAAUGCUCGACGGCGUACUUUUUGUAUAACGGUCCGACGAGUUAUGGUUAUUGGCAAGGUUAAGAACAAAAAGUUCGGAGCCGAAGCGAAAGCGAGUCCUAACUGGGCGCGAAGUCAAUGGCUGUAGACCCGAAGCCAAGUGACCUAUCCAUGAGCAGGUUGAAGUGACGGUAACACGUCAUGGAGGACCGCACCCUUAUCUGUUGCAAAAGGUCGGGAUGACUUGUGGAUAGCGGAGAAAUUCCAAACGAACUUGGCGAUAGCUGGUUCUCCCCGAAAUAGCUUUAGGGCUAGCCUCAUAAUUAGUAUACCGGAGGUAGAGCACUGACUUGACUAGGGGCCUUACCGGGCUACCGAAUCAUAUCAAACUCCGAAUGCCGAGUAUAUAUAUAUGGGAGUCAGAGUGCGCCAGAUAAUGCCGUACUCGAGAGGGAAACAACCCAGACCGUCAGCUAAGGUCCCCAAAUGAUUGUUAAGUGGGAAAGGAUGUGGACUUGCUAAGACAGCUAGGAUGUUGGCUUAGAAGCAGCCACUCAUUUAAAGAGUGCGUAAUAGCUCACUAGUCGAGUGGGUCUGCGCCGAAGAUAUACGGGGCUAAACAAUCUACCGAAGCUACGGAACUAUAAAGGUUGGUAGGGGAGCAUUCUGUAGGAAGCAGAAGCAUGAUCGUAAGAACAUGUGGAUUCAUCAGAAGCGAGAAUGUCGGAAUAAGUAACGUAAGGGAAGUGAGAAUCUUCCCCGUCGAAAAUCCAAGGUUUCCUGGGGAAGGUUCGUCCGCCCAGGGUUAGUCGGGACCUAAGAUGAGGCCAAGCGGCGUAGUCGAUGGACAACAGGUGGAAAUUCCUGUACUACCGCUUAACGAUAUGAGAGACGCAGGGACACAGGGGGAUAGCUUUAGCGAGCGACAGGAAGAGCUCGUUUAAGCCCGGUAGAUAGUCUAGUAGUGAAGUACGCUGGACGUUUCGAAUGGGUGAACACUAGGGAAAAAUAAGUACCGAAGAAAGUGAUUCCGCACUGGCGAGAAAAGCUGCUAUCCAGUUAAGAGGUACCCGUACCGUAAACCGACACAGGUGGAUAAGAAGAGAAUUCUAAGACGAGCGGGAGAAGCAUUGUUAAGGAACUCGGCAAAUUAACCCCGUACGUUAGCAAGAAGGGGUGCCAGAGCAAUCUGGCCGCAGUGAAAUGGCCCGAGCAACUGUUUACCAAAAACACAGGUCUCCGCUAAAUCGUAAGAUGAAGUAUGGGGGCUGACGCCUGCCCGGUGCUGGAAGGUUAUGGGAAUCUGUUAGCUUUAUGCGAAGCAGUGAACUUAAGCCCCAGUAAACGGCGGCCGUAACUAUAACGGUCCUAAGGUAGCGAAAUUCCUUGUCAGGUAAGUUCUGACCCGCACGAAUGGCGUAAUGACUUGGGCACUGUCUCGACAAUGCACCCGGUGAAAUUGUAGUACUUGUGAUAAUGCAAGUUACCCGCGACAGGAAGGAAAGACCCCAUGGAGCUUUACUGUAGAUUGUUAUUGGGCUUCGAUGUUGUCUGUAGAGUAUAGGUGGCAGACUGUGAAGCAUUGGCGUCAGCUGGUGUGGAGUCGUCCUUGGAAUACCACCCUGACAAUAUUGGAUCUCUAACCAGAGGCCGUUAUCCGGUCCUGGGACAUUGGCAGUCGGGCAGUUUGACUGGGGCGGUCGCCUCCAAAAAGGUAACGGAGGCGUUCAAAGGUCACCUCAGCACGGUUGGAAAUCGUGCAUCGAGCGCAAAGGCAUAAGGUGGCUUGACUGCGAGACUUACAAGUCGAGCAGGUACGAAAGUAGGACUUAGUGAUCCGGCGGUAGAAAGUGGAAUUGCCGUCGCUCAACGGAUAAAAGUUACCCUGGGGAUAACAGGCUUAUUCCUCCCAAGAGUUCACAUCGACGGAGGAGUUUGGCACCUCGAUGUCGGCUCAUCACAUCCUGGGGCUGGAGCAGGUCCCAAGGGUUCGGCUGUUCGCCGAUUAAAGUGGUACGCGAGCUGGGUUCAGAACGUCGUGAGACAGUUCGGUCCCUAUCCGUCGUGGGCGUAGGAAAUUUGAGAGGAGCUGUCCCUAGUACGAGAGGACCGGGAUGGACGAACCUAUGGUGAACCGGUUGUCACGCCAGUGGCAUAGCCGGGUAGCUAAGUUCGGUUGGGAUAAACGCUGAAAGCAUCUAAGUGUGAAGCCCCCCUCAAGAUGAGAUUUCCCCACAAUAUGUGAUAAGAUCCCUGGAAGACUACCAGGUUGAUAGGCCGAGAGUGUAAGCAUAGUAAUAUGUUCAGCGGAUCGGUACUAAUAGAUCGAAGAUUUGACCU